GAUGAACGCUAGCGGCAUGCCUAACACAUGCAAGUCGCACGGACGUAGCAAUACGUUAGUGGCGCACGGGAGAGUAACACGUGGGAAUCUACCUUUUAGUUCGGAACAACACCGGGAAACUGGUGCUAAUACCGGAUGCGCCCCGAGGGGGAAAGAUUUAUCGCUAAAAGAGGAGCCCGCGUCUGAUUAGCUAGUUGGUGAGGUAAUGGCUCACCAAGGCGACGAUCAGUAGCUGGUCUGAGAGGACGAUCAGCCUCACUGGGACUGAGACACGGCCCAGACUCCUACGGGAGGCAGCAGUGGGGAAUAUUGGACAAUGGGGGAAACCCUGAUCCAGCAAUGCCGCGUGAGUGAUGAAGGUCUUCGGAUUGUAAAGCUCUUUUGGCAGGGACGAUGAUGACAGUACCUGCAGAAUAAGCUCCGGCUAACUUCGUGCCAGCAGCCGCGGUAA
This 451-nucleotide ribosomal RNA is filed under the name uncultured bacterium. RNAcentral describes it as "partial 16S ribosomal RNA". It matches the Rfam family "Bacterial small subunit ribosomal RNA", at positions 28 to 523 of the family's 1533-position model. The record is from RNAcentral.